CAACUUCCACCUGGCUUACCUCCUCAGUUAUGCGUAAAGGCUUGUAUCGCCCGGAGCGUAUUGUGGGUUUCCUGUGUUGCAUACCUAAUUGACGGUAUUGUUUUGAUUGAUUGAAGUCCCUUUUCAUCAUGUGUUGCAUUUGUGAUGCAUGAUGAACCCUGAAGCGGUCUCUAUGAUCCAUCCUGUUGAUGUACAUGCAUUGAUGGUUUGGCCCAUUGAGCUUUGCUUGGUCUCUUGGAUACGGAAUAUGAUGUGGGCAUAGGGGUCUAUCAUGAUCCUUGUUUUGCCCUCGUUCAGUGUUCUCUAGAACGACAGUUCAUGCGCGCCUAGGCUCGUACCUGCGUGAUGUUCUAUGUCAAAGAGGAAUGCUACCUGGUUGAUCCUGCCAGUA
RNAcentral lists this unclassified non-coding RNA (391 nucleotides) under Homogyne alpina. RNAcentral describes it as "partial contains external transcribed spacer and 18S ribosomal RNA". Lineage: Eukaryota; Viridiplantae; Streptophyta; Magnoliopsida; Asterales; Asteraceae. The record is from RNAcentral.